RNAcentral lists this transfer RNA (68 nucleotides) under Aegla aff. longirostri MHT-2018. RNAcentral's name for it is "tRNA-Gly". Lineage: Eukaryota; Metazoa; Arthropoda; Malacostraca; Decapoda; Aeglidae. The record is from RNAcentral.
AUUUUUUUAGUAUAUUAGUAUAUUUGGCUUCCAACCAAAAGGAUUAAAAAUUUUUUUUAAAAAAAAUA